This 432-nucleotide ribosomal RNA is filed under the name uncultured bacterium. RNAcentral describes it as "partial 16S ribosomal RNA". It matches the Rfam family "Bacterial small subunit ribosomal RNA", at positions 29 to 507 of the family's 1533-position model. The record is from RNAcentral.
AGCGAACGCUGGCGGCAGGCCUAACACAUGCAAGUCGAACGAACUCUUCGGAGUUAGUGGCGGACGGGUGAGUAACACGUGGGAACGUGCCUUUAGGUUCGGAAUAACUCAGGGAAACUUGAGCUAAUACCGGAUGUGCCCUUCGGGGAAAGAUUUAUCGCCUUUAGAGCGGCCCGCGUCUGAUUAGCUAGUUGGUGAGGUAAAGGCUCACCAAGGCGACGAUCAGUAGCUGGUCUGAGAGGAUGAUCAGCCACAUUGGGACUGAGACACGGCCCAAACUCCUACGGGAGGCAGCAGUGGGGAAUCUUGCGCAAUGGGCGAAAGCCUGACGCAGCCAUGCCGCGUGAAUGAUGAAGGUCUUAGGAUUGUAAAAUUCUUUCACCGGGGACGAUAAUGACGGUACCCGGAGAAGAAGCCCCGGCUAACUUCGUG